UACGUAGGGUGCGAGCGUUGUCCGGAAUUAUUGGGCGUAAAGAGCUCGUAGGCGGUUUGUCGCGUCGGAUGUGAAACCCCGGGGCUUAACUCCGGGCCUGCAUUCGAUACGGGCUGACUAGAGUUCGGCAGGGGAGACUGGAAUUCCUGGUGUAGCGGUGAAAUGCGCAGAUAUCAGGAGGAACACCGGUGGCGAAGGCGGGUCUCUGGGCCGAUACUGACGCUGAGGAGCGAAAGCGUGGGGAGCAAACAGG
RNAcentral lists this ribosomal RNA (253 nucleotides) under uncultured bacterium. RNAcentral describes it as "partial 16S ribosomal RNA". It matches the Rfam family "Bacterial small subunit ribosomal RNA", at positions 524 to 776 of the family's 1533-position model. The record is from RNAcentral.